Molecule: long non-coding RNA, 1024 nt
Filed under: Oncorhynchus mykiss (rainbow trout)
Lineage: Eukaryota; Metazoa; Chordata; Actinopteri; Salmoniformes; Salmonidae
Description: lncRNA (ENSOMYG00000063808.1)
Source: RNAcentral
CAGAUGAUGCUGCGUACUAUUUUGCGUAAACCCUGUCGGUGUGUUCGAAGCGUAAACAGCGUAGCGCCAAGUAGACUGUAGUCCAGUCGAGGUACUGGUGUGUGAAGUCUAAACUGAUGUCUGCCUUAUUCUGCCGUCUGUUGAACUCGUGCAACAUGUAACAGUUUUCUGUUUCUGCUUCAUGAUACAAUCAUAUCCUCAGUGUCAAUAAUAAUUUGAGAGAACAGUUUAGAAAAUAAGACAACUUUCAUUGCACUUUUAUUUUUUUUGGCAAUCAAUCUGCGCAUCUUUCCCUGAUCGUUUCAGACCGUCCUGUUCGUGAGUCGUGGCAGGUAUCCGCAUGCGUCGUCCUCAAACAAUUGAUGCCGUGAGCUGUUCUCAGAUUUUUAAAUAGGCUUACCUUUUAUAUUUUAUCUGGACAUGUUAUUUUUCUCAAAGGCCCGCGGCAUUUGAAGGUUGGGCUCCUGUUGAGGGUGGUCAGAGAUAGAGUCACACCACUACGUGUAGUACUGAGAAGAGUGGCCAAGUUCCAAUACACGGACUGGUGUAUCUAGGUAGGGUGGUCCAGCCCAGGCUCCAGGCUAUGCCUCCCUGGCUGUGGGAGAGCUAUUCCAUGCUGAGUUGAAAGGGACCUGCUUGGCUGGGGAAUACGGGAACAGACAUGGGGCUGGGACAGUCCAACAAGGCUCCUGUCACCGAUGACACAGAGGAGAGUGAGUAAUGACCAAUGACUGUAUAUGAAUGGACAAAGCCAUCGAUCACGUGACACCAUUCAUUCCUAUGUGAAGACUCAAUAUCACAUUGAAGCCAAAUGAAGUCGGUUAAGAUGGGGUCACAUGAGAUAUAACAUGCUCAUUUUGAGUUACUCCGGGAAGUGCCUGUGAAGGCUACCUCAGUGCUGCUCCUACUCAUUGAGUAACUAAAUUAUCCUUAUAACUUCUUCUAUGUGCGAUUUUAAAAUAGUCUGUUCAAAAAGGACAUACACUGAGUGUACAAACAUUCCAUGACAUAGACUGGCCAGGUG